Molecule: unclassified non-coding RNA, 1952 nt
Filed under: Amphibalanus amphitrite
Lineage: Eukaryota; Metazoa; Arthropoda; Thecostraca; Balanomorpha; Balanidae
Description: hrp65 protein-like, transcript variant X1
Source: RNAcentral
UGCUCGGUGGACGCGGAUCAAGCCGGUGAUCGUUAAUAUUGCCAUUUGGUGUUUUAUUUACUUAUUGCCUAUUUAUCUGUGUAAUGAUGGCUGAGACGGACGUUCAGAUGCCGCAAGAGAAUGCUAACGGAGAUCAUGGAGGUUCCCCAGCGCGUGGACGCGGCCGGGGACGAGGUCGCGGCCGUGGUGAAUUUAGGGGAGGACGUGGAGGAGGCGGUGAAUUUAGGGGAGGCCGCGGAGGAGGCGGUGAUUUCAGGGGAGGACGCGGAGGAGGUGGUGAUUUCAGGGGAGGCCGUGGAGGCGGAGAAUUCCGCGGCGGACGCGGUGGAGGGGAGCACCGCGGAGGACGAGGUGGAGGCGGAGAGUUCAGAGGACGAGGAGGAUUCCGUGGUGGCCGCGGAGGUGGCCCCAGGAACCCUGAGGAGCGUAUGAUGGAGAAGCUGCAGGCCAUCGCCGGUCCGACGUAUGACCUGCCUGUGGCCGAGAAGGAGAAGAAGAAGUUCACCAACAAAUGCCGCCUGUUUGUCGGCAACCUUACCGACGACACCACCAUGGACGAGUUCCAGGAGAUGUUCAAGGUCUUCGGAGAGAUCGCCGAGCCCUACCUCAACCUGGAGAAGGCGUUUGGAUUCGUCAAGCUGGACUACCGUGAGAACGCGGAGAAGGCGCGCCAGGCCCUGAACGGCACCAUGCGUAACGGCCGGCUGCUCAAGGUGCGCUUCUCCUCGAUGGGCAGCAGCCUCAAGGUGAAGCGGCUUUCACCCUGGGUCAGCAACGAGCUGCUCGAGCUGGCCUUCUCCGUGUUCGGCGAGCUGGAGCGCGUCACUGUUAUCGUGGACGAGCGCGGAAAAUCGACCGGUGAGGGAAUCAUCGAGUUCGCCAAGAAGCCGUGCGCUCAGGCGUGCCUCAGCAAGUGCACAGAAAACAGCUUCUUCAUCACUGAGAGUUUGUGCCCUAUCGAAGUGGAGACUCUGAAGGAAGAGGAGGAGGAGGAGGGACUCAGUGAGAAGGUCCUGCCCAAGAAGUACCACGACUACCGGCGUGAGCGCUCUGUGGGCCCGCGGUUCGGCCAGGAGGGCUCGUUCGAGGCCGAGUACGGCGCUCGCUGGAAGCAGCUGUACGAGAUGGAGAAGCAGCGCCGCGAACAGCUCGACCAGGAGAUCAAGCUGGAGAUGGAGAAGCUGCGCGACCAGAUGGAGUUUGCGCGCCGCCAGCACGAGACGGAGAUAUUGCGCGAGCAGCUGCGCCGCAGGGAGAUGGAGCAGGAGCGCACCAAGAGUGACUGGGACGCGCGCCAGGCGCAGCGCGAGCAGGAGCGUCGCCGCAUGGAGGAGGAGAUGCAGCGCCGCCAGGAGUCGAUGCAGGCGCGCAUGCGCCAGUCCGAGGACGACCUGAAGCGCCGCCAGCAGGAGAACAAACUCUUCAUGCAGGCGAACGAGCUGAAUAGUCUGCUGGACCAGUCGGAGCAGGCCAUGUGGGGCGACCAGCGCGCGCCACCGGCCGCCGGCGGUGACCAGGUGCCGCCCGCCGCCGGCGGCUACGGCCAGGCGCCGCCCGGAUGGGGCACCCCGCCCGCCGGAGCGCCCGGAGGCUUCGACGCGCACGGUGGCGGUCUCGGUCGCGGCGGAGGUCGCGGAGGCGGUCAGCUGGUGGGUGUCGGCUGAGCCGGGCUCGGUCGAUGUCCUGACCCGACCUGACCUGAGCUGAGCACUGCUGCGGCUGCCGCGCGCCGUACCGCUGCCACGGGGCAGCUCUGAGCUGCCAGUCGGAGUCCGAGGGACGCUGCUGAGAACGGCUCCGUCGAACAACGCUACCACCCAGGCGGAGACCACCGAUCCCGCCUCAACCAGCCGUGUGAGAAGAGGUGUCUGUUCACACCACAGUCACACAGAGUGAAACGAGUCGACAUUUGUACCGGUCUGCGUUCGCAGUCCAAAUAUAUGCCGAAAUCA